Cinara cedri is the source of this 1488-nucleotide non-coding RNA. The record is from the annotation of a GenBank genome assembly. Lineage: Eukaryota; Metazoa; Arthropoda; Insecta; Hemiptera; Aphididae.
AGACAGUUGAUAUAUAAACAUAUAGUAAUAUGUAGUAAUAAUAUUUAGUAUAGUAAAUAAUGAUAAUAUAUUUAUAAUUCAUAAUGUGAUAAUAAUGAAUAAUCAGCGCAAAUAAACGCUAUUAGAGUUUAUUAAAAUUAUUUAGAUCAAAGCUAUUAUCGAGAGAAUCGAAAAUAACUUUGUACACCGGUUUAGGCCUAUAAUAACACACGGAUGUGAAACUUGUGCAACUACGAAGGGUGAGUAUUCAAAAAUUAGUACGAUAGAUAGAAAAGUACUUGGAAAAAUAUUUGGCCUAAUGUGUAAUAUGGAAUUGAGAGUUUACGAAAGAAAACAUGUGAAAAUUGAUGUGCAUAACAUGUAUAAAAGACUUAAAAUUGUAUAAUUUAGUAAAAGUAAAAGAAUGGUUCGAGCAUGUAUGGAGAUCAAAUGGUUCAAGCUUGUAUGGAGAUCAAAUGGUUCGAGUACGUAUGGAGAUCAAAUAAGAAAAUAAUUAAACAAGUUACAGAAGAAAGAGUUACAGGCAAAAUACCUCCAGGAAGACCGAAAAUACGAAAGAUAUGGUGGAAAAAGAUUUAGAAAUGGUCAACGAAAAUAUACAAAUAAUUGAUAUUGUGACGGCAGCGAUAGGAGUUCAUGGCCCGCUAAACUGUAAAAGAGGAAGAAUAAUAUGACGAAUUAUUCUAAUAUUAUUUCAAAAUUAUAUCAAAGAAAGUAGAUUCAACUUUAUUUUUAAUUUAUAAAUUAUUUUUCUUAGUUUUUAAUGGUACCAUUAGAACAGUGGUUCCGUGGUUCCCAAUUUUUUUUUAUUCUACGCUCUCUUUGUAGAUUUCUAAAAAUUGCAUUCCCCCCCUUCUCACCACUAAAUUGAUAAACUUGAUUACCUUUUCUUUCAGUAUACUUAUUAUUUUAUUAACAACAAUAAUUAUAAAAAAAGACGGACAUACAUAGAGAGGAAUUUAAUUUAUAUCUGUACGCAACGAUAAACUAUUACUCAGGAAAAACGAUGUGGAGCGAAGUUCGGUUGUACAUGUUUUGAAAGGCCGUAAUAUUUAUGAUUUUCAUCGAAAUUUGAUAUUAUAAAUCGCAUACAAAAAAAAUAUUACUUUAAACUCAAUUUAACUCACUUUCUUUUUCUUUUGACUGCAAAGUACGACUUAUUAAUGAACCUCCUGUUGAGUUUUCAAGCAUUUCUGAUUAGUCUAAUAAUUUUAUCCACAGAGCACAUAUCAAAUAAAAAUUACGUAAAAACUCGUAACAUAUCUAAAUCAUAAAUUUGUCUGUACUUUCUAAGUAUUUUUCAGUUUGAUCAAUUAUUAUAAAUGUUACAUGGAUAAUCAAAAAACAACCUUCUUCUUCUAGAUUCAAAAUGUAACAAGAUGCAUUUUUCGUUGGAUUUUAAUUAAAGAUCUCUAUGAGAAAAUUUAAGUUAUAAAUAAUGGAUCCACAUCACCCGAUGUGUGAGCCACUAUUGUAGAUGAGAAGUUG